UUCCAGACUCCUACGGGAGGCAGCAGUGAGGGAUAUUGGUCAAUGGGGGAAACCCUGAACCAGCAACGCCGCGUGAGGGAAGACGGUUUUCGGAUUGUAAACCUCUGUCCUCUGUGAAGAUAAUGACGGUAGCAGAGGAGGAAGCUCCGGCUAACUACGUGCCAGCAGCCGCGGUAAUACGUAGGGAGCAAGCGUUGUCCGGAUUUACUGGGUGUAAAGGGUGCGUAGGCGGCCUUGCAAGUCAGAAGUGAAAUCCAUGGGCUUAACCCGUGAACUGCUUUUGAAACUGUAGGGCUUGAGUGAAGUAGAGGCAGGCGGAAUUCCCGGUGUAGCGGUGAAAUGCGUAGAUAUUAGGAGGAACACCAGUGGCGAAGGCGGCUUACUGGACUGUAACUGACGUUGAGGCUCGAAAGCGUGGGGAGCAAACAGGAUUAGAUACCCCUGUAG
RNAcentral lists this ribosomal RNA (447 nucleotides) under uncultured bacterium. RNAcentral describes it as "bacterial SSU rRNA". It matches the Rfam family "Bacterial small subunit ribosomal RNA", at positions 329 to 793 of the family's 1533-position model. The record is from RNAcentral.